This is a long non-coding RNA of Gadus macrocephalus (Pacific cod), 822 nucleotides long. RefSeq lists it as uncharacterized. The transcript is spliced from 2 exons. Lineage: Eukaryota; Metazoa; Chordata; Actinopteri; Gadiformes; Gadidae. The record is from RefSeq and is a predicted model, not a curated record.
AGUCUUCUGGCCCCUCUUGUUUUUAUAUCUGGCACCCAGAGGGUCAGAUGUGUUGGUGCCGGUGGACUCCGAUCGUUGAAAUGGAGAGGGGAGGUGCUCUUGUCAGCCCUUGUCUGCAACUCUCCUGUUUCCUUUCAAAUCAUACAGCUAAUAGUUUUUCACUGAGUUACCGAGGACUAGUAUUCAAAGUUGUUUUUUGCAAAACCCCCCACGAAAAACAAGUACAAAUAUAACCGCAACCGGUGAUUAACGGGGUCCGAGCAAAAUAAAAAUUCAAGAACACACUGAACUCUCAACCUAAGGAUCACCAGUACACAGCAUUAUCCCGUUGAGCCACUGACAUUCCUGAACUGCAUAAAGCCUCAUUCACAUAGUGAAAAUGUCGAUUGAUAAGCACACAACAUCAAGAAAACUCCCAAGCACACAUUUUACAAGAGAAUUAAGGGCUUUCUUAAAAGAGUACCAGAUCUGAAAAUGUGCAUGAUAGAGAGCGAUGACCUGAUGAUAGCUGUAUGCUAGUUAUACAAUAACAAAAUGGUCACAUAGGCGAAAUGGGUUGAGACUGUGGUCGUUCGGGUUUUCUAUGAAAUUGUGGGAAAAGUGAACAUUUUUAUAGCAGAAGACCAGGGUGAAAAAGAUGCAUCUGAUUUUAGAGAUUAAUAGGAUGAAAGAAUUUUGAGUCCAGGUCAAUCUAGUAAGGAGAAAUAAGGCUAGUUCAUAAUUGUUUUAAAUACUGCCACCUUUGGGUGCAGUACCACAAUUUGCGUUUAUGGGUAGGGGGGGGUAUUGGUAUCCACCUAAUAGUCGUAUGGUUUUUUUUUU